Long non-coding RNA from Gymnodraco acuticeps, 546 nucleotides. RefSeq lists it as uncharacterized. The record is from RefSeq and is a predicted model, not a curated record. Lineage: Eukaryota; Metazoa; Chordata; Actinopteri; Perciformes; Bathydraconidae. The transcript has 2 exons.
ACGGAAGAAGCCGUAGAAUUUAUUUGGUCUGGCGGACCGCUUAGCGAUGCAGCGGUGGAUUCCUCAGAUUCUGAAGCUGACAACUGGCAAGGAAGAGGAGUAUGAUCACGGGAUUGAUCCCUUCGAAGAUAAAAAAUACAGAGGAUGAGAGAGGGGAUGCACAAGCCCCUGUCCCCAUCAGUAGGCCUCCUUCAAACCGAGAGGGAAAAGAAUGCGGCCAGGAGGGUGCAGCAUCCAGACAAAAGGCCAAACCAAUGCCAGCCCCCCUGACAGUGAAAGGGAGAGGAAGAGGAAAAGGGAAAAAAACAUCUCUGACCCCAGAAGAGCCAGGAGCUGUUUGGAACGGACCUGAGGUGCCAGAUACUGCCCAACAACUACCACACUUUUGCCCGAAAAGAGCCCCUGGAGUCCAAGGUUUUGUUGGUGUGGAGUAUACUCCUGCACAAAUAUUUAGAAAUUGUUUUAACAACCAAGCUGUAAAUAUCAUCUGCAAGAACACAAACAAAAAUGCUGAAAAGGAGCAGGCUAAGGGGGAAAAGUUUGUUU